RNAcentral lists this transfer RNA (69 nucleotides) under Anolis euskalerriari. Its description in RNAcentral is "tRNA-Tyr". Lineage: Eukaryota; Metazoa; Chordata; Lepidosauria; Squamata; Anolidae. The record is from RNAcentral.
GAUAAAUAAGGGAAUUAAACCCUUGUAUGUAGGACUACAAACUACUGCCUUACAUUCGGCCAUUUUACC